GCUGUCUAUGAUGUUACCUAUCACUUACCUACCUUGUUUGAAUGACUUUUGAAAACAAAAGAUGUCUGAGACAGGC
Molecule: small nucleolar RNA, 76 nt
Organism: Scophthalmus maximus (turbot)
Lineage: Eukaryota; Metazoa; Chordata; Actinopteri; Pleuronectiformes; Scophthalmidae
Gene: SNORD34
Rfam family: Small nucleolar RNA SNORD34
About the family: snoRNA U34 is found in intron 5 of the ribosomal protein L13a gene in humans.
Source: Ensembl